CAGUGAUUUAACAAGAUAAUACGCUCGAUGAAUAUGGGUCACGGUGGACUAUCGUCGUGGUUGAAUUAACACUGCCAACCGCGAAAGAUCGUUAAAUUUCAUGUGUUCUGACUUUGGCGCCAGAAAUGAUCGGAAGCGC
Long non-coding RNA from Frieseomelitta varia, 139 nucleotides. RefSeq lists it as uncharacterized. NCBI's taxonomy places the organism in Eukaryota, Metazoa, Arthropoda, Insecta, Hymenoptera, Apidae. The transcript has 3 exons. The record is from RefSeq and is a predicted model, not a curated record.